Long non-coding RNA from Papaver somniferum (opium poppy), 2642 nucleotides. RefSeq lists it as uncharacterized. NCBI's taxonomy places the organism in Eukaryota, Viridiplantae, Streptophyta, Magnoliopsida, Ranunculales, Papaveraceae. The record is from RefSeq and is a predicted model, not a curated record. The transcript has 9 exons.
UUCAAAAUACCCCCCAAAAAUCACAAUUUAUAACUCAGUUAGGGAUUACAAUUUCAAAACCCCAUAGCAAACAGGGGCUUCAAAAUACCCCCAAAAAAUCGCUAUAACUUAAUUAGGGAUUUCAAAACCCCAGCCCAGAUCGAUUAAUAAUCGUUGGAAAAAUUAAUUAAAUAGAAUUACCGCAUUUUCACAAGACCACUAAAUCGCAAACGCCUAGAGCCACCAAGUGAAGGAUCAAACUCAUCCUUCGAACGCAACCUGUUGGAGUUAGAUGAAGAACUACCAGUCGGUCCCUUUGAACUUGAACGCAGAACCACCAUCGUUUUGCCCUAAAAUAUAUAUAGGAUAUAUAAUACUAGGUUUUUUUUAUUGUACUAAAGUAUAUAUAAUAGGUUUUUUAAUGGCAGGUCCAUGGACUUGAUUUUUAGGUCCCAAAUGUUAUUCACGUCACGGGUCCUCGUCUGGUGAGCCACCCCGAAAUUUUGGAAUCUCAAUCGAAUAGAAUCGAUUGAAUCAAACGCUCCGCAUCGAAUUUGUUUGAGACACAAAUUGCUACUUCUCGGGUUUUAAUUUUUGUGAUUUAGGUUUUUAUGAAACUAAUUAAAUCACCGCCACCACCCUCUUCCACCUGCUUCGGUUACUGUUGAAUCACCACUACCACCCUACUCAUUCAAAUUGAAUCACCACCACCGCCCUCUUCCUCUCCUAAAUGAGUCGUCCACCACCACCAUCAAUAGCUAUUACAGUUGAAACCAAGAAACUCAAAUCCACUAAUUUUUAGUUAGGGGUUUAUAGCUAUUGAAGCGAGUAGUUGUGCUUUAUAGCUAUUGAAGCGAGUAGGUCGUGAUGGAAUUUGCAUUGGGUUGAGAAGUUCAGGGAAAAAUAAUAGCAAAGAUGUUUUGGACUAACCGGGCACAAGCAGACUAAAUGCUUAUCUCAAAGAACCCAUGAUGGGCCUCACAUGUGGUUGAAGGAAGUUAAAUAUUACAACAGAAUGAGGUGAUCUUGGCUGAAAAAAUGGUGUUUAUGAACAUGCAAACCAACAUGUUGCGAGAUUAUCUUGCAAGUCCCACCCUGCCCAAUGUUAAGUUGAAAGAGAAAAUAGUUUGAAGAUAUUUAAGCGAUGGAGAAUGUUCCUCACAGCCUUAAAAUCAUCGAGCAAUCUUGACUUCAGCAGUGGAUUGAUACCAAAACAGAUGGCAGUCAACAACCCUUGCUCGGUUUUGACAGUUAAUUUUUUUUUAUGCUGACAAGUUCCAAACUCUGGUCACCCGUGUCGUCACCCAAUGACUUUGACAGUUGAUUCAUACCACAGUGGAUGACAGUCAACAAUCCAGUCUCUGUUGAAGCCAUAGAAUAAUUUAUGGUUUCUCAAGGUUGAAGAACUGAAGUACUUUGAAGAUCAGAAGAACAUUGAAGGUCAACAUGGCCCAUCGACUGAGAAGUGGUUUUGUGUGCUUAUAUAGUAAAGAAGCCCUUUCAUGUAUGGUGAUGCAGGAGGUCUUGUCAUUAAUUUGCCAGAGAAUCAGAAGAUGUUUAUUGUAAAACAUUGGAACAACAGCUCAGUGAUCUCUUUUGGGUAUCAUUCAAUGGUUGAAGCAGUGUCAGAAAGCAUAGGUGAAGAUUCAGGUAAUACCAAAGAUUAUGGAGCCUCUCAGAAUAUCAUGCCGAGCUUGAAUAUCUUGAACAACCUAGCAUGUUCUCCUACAAAUACAUCCCAAGGUUAGAAAUAAACUGACCUUGCUUGGCAACAGAUAUGCUAUUUGCUGAUGACACAAACUUGUAUUAAAGAACACACCAGAGACCAACCAUAGCUGACAUAUUAAUGAGCAUCUGGGAUAAUUCUAUAGACGGACACUAAUGCCACAUCGUUAUAUUGAAGUACACCAAAGAAAAAUAUCUUCUUUUGUUGUAUCAUGGUGUCCAUUUGUAUUUUCCCUGUGUAUUUUUAUGUGAUUUACUUGAUGCGCACAGUACCGAGACACUAAGGUGACAUCGUUUAUAUUGAGACACACCAAAGAAAAGUAUUAUGUCCAGAUCUUUUUUUUUUCUGUAUGUCCUAGUUCCUAUUUUAAUGUUUGGUGGCUUGGUUGGUACAUACUAGAUAAUUUGGAGCACAGCAUUGCCUUAUUUCUAGGGUUAGAGUGACUAGUAGAAUUAUAACGUCCAUUUGUUUGAUGUCAGAAAUUAGACCAGUCUUGUAUGGUGAACAUUGAGUCAAUGCCCGAUAUCAACUUCAUCAUUUACUUAUUGUUAUAUUUCUGAUGGCGUUUUUGUAUUUUUGGAGUCCAGAGAAUUAGACUUUGCUAGGACAAGAGAUGCAUUGCAGGUUGAAGUGCUCGAAAAAAUGAAUUUAACCAUCAGUUUAUGAUGAUUACUGGAUCACUAACUAGAACCCCAGAUAGUCAAAAAUUUGGAUAAAGUUUUAGAAGCAGCAACGGGUGGCUGGGAAUGGUUGAUAACUUACUCAUCUUAGAAAUCUUUAGAUAGUCUUCGUCAGACAUCGAUCCCAUAGAGCGAGGCUUUUGGUUGUAUUCUGUUGAACUACAGUGAAUUAUUUGUGUAACCAUCUCUAAGUAUGUGUGACUCAACUGGAGUGUCUUGAUAUCGCCUAUAUUGAUUUUCAAGCAUCAGAAAUCCCA